AGCACAUGAUGAUUCCAGCGUGCGUCUGAA
RNAcentral lists this non-coding RNA (30 nucleotides) under Homo sapiens (human). Lineage: Eukaryota; Metazoa; Chordata; Mammalia; Primates; Hominidae. The record is from RNAcentral.